AAAGCAGGUUGCAAUUACAGUGCUUCAUUUUGUGGAAGUACUGACAUUACCCUGCUGAAAGAAAAUGUUUGUCAAUCAUUUUUGAUUUUGCCUUUAUGAGGGUAAAAUCAUGACAGAUUGAUAUGGACAAUU
This is a small nucleolar RNA of Vulpes vulpes (red fox), 132 nucleotides long. NCBI's taxonomy places the organism in Eukaryota, Metazoa, Chordata, Mammalia, Carnivora, Canidae. The record is from Ensembl.